UACGUAGGAUCCGAGCGUUGUCCGGAUUUACUGGGUAUAAAGGGUGCGUAGGCGGGUUUGUGCUUCAGAGGUUAAAGACCGCAGCUCAACUGCGGGAGUGCCUCUGAUAAGGCAAAUCUUGGAUAUGAGAGGGGUAGGUAGAAUUCCUGGUGUAGCGGUGAAAUGCGUAGAUAUCAGGAGGAAUACCAGUGGCGAAGGCG
Molecule: ribosomal RNA, 200 nt
Filed under: uncultured bacterium
Lineage: Bacteria
Description: partial 16S ribosomal RNA
Rfam family: Bacterial small subunit ribosomal RNA
Source: RNAcentral